GAUGAACGCUGGCGGCGUGCCUAAUACAUGCAAGUCGAGCGAACAGACGAGGAGCUUGCUCCUCUGACGUUAGCGGCGGACGGGUGAGUAACACGUGGAUAACCUACCUAUAAGACUGGGAUAACUUCGGGAAACCGGAGCUAAUACCGGAUAAUAUAUUGAACCGCAUGGUUCAAUAGUGAAAGACGGUUUUGCUGUCACUUAUAGAUGGAUCCGCGCCGCAUUAGCUAGUUGGUAAGGUAACGGCUUACCAAGGCAACGAUGCGUAGCCGACCUGAGAGGGUGAUCGGCCACACUGGAACUGAGACACGGUCCAGACUCCUACGGGAGGCAGCAGUAGGGAGUCUUCCGCAAUGGGCGAAAGCUUGACGGAGCAACGCCGCGUGAGUGAUGAAGGUCUUCGGAUCGUAAAACUCUGUUAUUAGGGAAGAACAAAUGUGUAAGUAACUAUGCACGUCUUGACGGUACCUAAUCAGAAAGCCACGGCUAACUACGUG
RNAcentral lists this ribosomal RNA (497 nucleotides) under uncultured bacterium. RNAcentral describes it as "partial 16S ribosomal RNA". It matches the Rfam family "Bacterial small subunit ribosomal RNA", at positions 28 to 507 of the family's 1533-position model. The record is from RNAcentral.